This is a long non-coding RNA of Mus musculus (house mouse), 349 nucleotides long. RefSeq annotates it as predicted gene, 54288. The record is from RefSeq and is a predicted model, not a curated record. NCBI's taxonomy places the organism in Eukaryota, Metazoa, Chordata, Mammalia, Rodentia, Muridae. The transcript has 2 exons.
UCCAGUCUGGUGGGUUUGUUUGUUUCUUUGUUUUCCCAAAUAGGCUCUUGUACGGCUCAGACUGGCUACAGCACUUGAGAGAGGAGGCCUAGAUCAUCCUUGGAGUUGGCCCACCCCAACAUCAACCCCCAUCUAUGAUUUGCUGGAGGGAAUUAAAGGGUCAGUCCUGCAGAUCCAACGCUGCAGGAUCUCCAUGACCCAGAGAGGAGUCCCACUGAGGAUCUAGUAUUGAUGGUGUAGCAGAAGCCAGAGGCCUUGAAACAAACCAAUGACUCAUCUCCAUGAACAUUUGCAAAUAAAGAUGUGUGGACAAAAGGCUACACUGCAUGCCACACUGUGGCACACUACA